Molecule: microRNA precursor, 81 nt
Organism: Anolis carolinensis (green anole)
Lineage: Eukaryota; Metazoa; Chordata; Lepidosauria; Squamata; Anolidae
Source: Ensembl
GAAACCUGGAAUCACUUUGCACAACUAGCCUCUCCUGUCGUAAAUGGGGCUACUUGUGAGGAAGUGGCUUCCAUGAUUGAA